AACUCUACAUCUUAAUAUUUUCUUCCUUCCUGAGAUAAAAGAAUUUAUGAGAAAAGAAGAGGUUAAUUAUAAAAAGGUAGAAAUUGCUAUUGCUAUCCCUCACUAAGUCAAACAGGAUGGGGAAUAGAAAAUUAAUAAAUUAAUGCCCAGCAAUCACUCCAGAUACCCUGGAAUAGAAUAAAUUCUUAAAUUCUUAAAUCCUCCAAUGCAGUUAAAGGAAAGGACAAUUAAAAACCAAUAACACAAAUGGAAAAGGAACAUUGUGCUAUUCCUGUGUUCUAUGCUAAACAUAGACCGCCAAGCAACUUUUAAGUUAAAGAAGAAAUAAUGAAAAAACAUGAAGUACUCAUUUUAAUAGUCUAUUAAUCCAUUGACAAACAAU
Molecule: unclassified non-coding RNA, 382 nt
Filed under: Hevea brasiliensis (rubber tree)
Lineage: Eukaryota; Viridiplantae; Streptophyta; Magnoliopsida; Malpighiales; Euphorbiaceae
Source: RNAcentral